UGGUGCUGAAGCUAUUCAGGAGCACGUGGGCCCAUCUGGAGCCAGGGAAGCCACAGCCAUCUGUCCAUGAGGGAACAAGGCCCAUUGAAAGCAACCAGAAUGAGAAGGACACGGACAAGACACUCGGCCAGGAGGCUGCGCAUUUGAAAAGCCUCACCAACACAGCGAACCAGGAGGCAAGAAGUUCUGCAAUCAGGGUACUGACAGAGCUGGCUCCCAGAUAAAGCCUCUGAAGGAGAAUCUGUCCACAGCUUUCAUCU
Callorhinus ursinus (northern fur seal) is the source of this 260-nucleotide long non-coding RNA. RefSeq lists it as uncharacterized. Lineage: Eukaryota; Metazoa; Chordata; Mammalia; Carnivora; Otariidae. The record is from RefSeq and is a predicted model, not a curated record.